CGAACGCUGGCGGCGUGCUUAAUACAUGCAAGUCGAACGAGAAAGUUCCGCUUCGGCGGGGCGAGUACAGUGGCGAACGGGUGCGUAACACGUGGGUAACCUGCCUCGAAGUUGGGGAUAAGCCUUCAAAGGGGGUCUAAUACCCGAUAACGUCUCUGGAGGACAUCUUCCGGAGAUCAAAGGCGGCCUAUAUUUAUAAGCUCUCGCUUUGAGAUGGGCCCGCGGUCCAUUAGCUUGUUGGUGAGAUAAAAGCUCCCCAAGGCUACGAUGGAUAGCCAACCUGAGAGGGUGUACGGUCACACUGGGACUGAGAUACGGCCCAGACUCCUACGGGAGGCAGCAGUAGGGAAUAUUGCGCAAUGGGCGAAUGCCUGACGCAGCAACGCCGCGUGGGUGAUGAAGUUCUUCGGAACGUAAAACCCUGUCAGAGGGGAAGAAACUUUCCGGGGCAAAUAGCCCCGGAGACUGACGGUACCCUCAGAGGAAGCUCCGGCCAACUCCGUG
This 504-nucleotide ribosomal RNA is filed under the name uncultured bacterium. RNAcentral's name for it is "bacterial SSU rRNA". It matches the Rfam family "Bacterial small subunit ribosomal RNA", at positions 30 to 507 of the family's 1533-position model. The record is from RNAcentral.